RNAcentral lists this ribosomal RNA (371 nucleotides) under Thraustochytriidae sp. Its description in RNAcentral is "Thraustochytriaceae sp. partial small subunit ribosomal RNA". It matches the Rfam family "Eukaryotic small subunit ribosomal RNA", at positions 582 to 975 of the family's 1831-position model. The record is from RNAcentral. Lineage: Eukaryota; Bigyra; Thraustochytrida; Thraustochytriidae.
AUUCCAGCUCCAAUAGCGAAUACUAAUUCUGCUGCAGUUAAAAAGCUCGUAGUUGAACUUCUGGUAGGACAGAUCCGGCCUUUGGAUGAAUGUCCAUUGUAUGCUGUGUGUCUUGUCUGGCCAUCCUUUAUGUCUUUUAGGCGUAAUCUUUCACUGUAAAAAAAUUAGGGUGUUUCAAGCAAAAGUUAUUUGGAAUAUAUUAGUAUGGGAUGAUAAGAUAGGCUCUUGAGUGCUACUUUGUUGGUUUAUACACUUAGAGAAGUCUUCACAGGGACAGUCAGGGGCACUCGUAUUCCGCCGAGAGAGGUGAAAUUCUCAGACCAGCGGAAGACGAACCACUGCGAAAGCAUUUGCCAGGGAUGUUUUCAUUG